This 1695-nucleotide ribosomal RNA is filed under the name Zschokkella siegfriedi. RNAcentral describes it as "bacterial SSU rRNA". It matches the Rfam family "Eukaryotic small subunit ribosomal RNA", at positions 328 to 1802 of the family's 1831-position model. The record is from RNAcentral. Lineage: Eukaryota; Metazoa; Cnidaria; Myxozoa; Bivalvulida; Myxidiidae.
UUGUGGUAGUGGCCCAACAAGGUAUUGACGGAUAACGGGGAAUCAGGGUUCGAUUCCGGAGAGGGAGCCUGAGAAACGGCUACCACAUCUAAGGAAGGCAGCAGGCGCGUAAAUUACCCAAAUCCGAAUUCCGGGAGGUAGUGACAAGAAAUAUCAAGACAGGCUUAAUGUCUGUAUUUGGAAUGAGUUUAAUUUAACAAAUUAUUCGAGCACCCAUUGGAGGGCAAGUCUGGUGCCAGCAGCCGCGGUAAUUCCAGCUCCAAUAGUGUAUAAUAAAGUUGUUGCGGUUAAAACGCUCGCAGUUGGUUGACAAAAGUUGCCACUUGUAUGGUCAAUUAUAACCUAUACAAUUUGGUGACUUUUUUUAUUGCAAAUUAUGUCAAUUUUCUUAAUUGCAACUUGACAUUCAUUUGCAUAAUGUGCCUUGAAUAAACUAAAGUGCUCAAUGCAAGCUUAUGCUCGCAUAACAAAACAUGGAACAAAUUAAACCUAAUCCAGCUUGGUUGGUUGGUCCAACUCUUUUGAUUUGAAAAUUUGUUACAUCACGACAUGCUUAUUAUUGCUGAGAAUCUCAUCAUUUGUUAACGCAAAUGGUGUAUCGCUCAAUCAUUUGUAUUGUUCUUGCUCUGUGACUUUGGAUCUGUCUCUUGAGAACCAAGCUGGAUCCAGAUUAAAAGAAGCAAUUGAGGGCGUUGGUACUGGGCAGCGAGAGGUGAAAUUCAUAGACCUGCCCAAGACUUACGAAAGCGAAGGCAUACGCCAAAUUUGUUUUCAUUAAUCAUGAGCGAAUGUUGAGGGAUCAAAGACGAUUAGACACCGUCGUAGUCUCAUACAGUAAACUAUGCCCACCUGAGGUUAGCCCAUUAUUAAAUCUUAUAGGUUGGCCUCCCAGAGAAAUCUCAAGUUUUUGGGUUCCGGGGGGAGUACGAUCGCAAGUUUGAAACUUAAAGGAAUUGACGGAAUGGCACCACAAGGGGUGGAGCCUGCGGCUUAAUUUGACUCAACACGGGACAACUUACCAGGUCCGCACAUUGAAAGGAUUGACAGAUUAACAGCUCUUUCAUGGUACAAUGUUUGGUGGUGCAUGGCCGUUCUUAGUUCGUGGAGCAAUUUGUCUGGUCAAUUCCUAUAACGAACGAGACUGUGAUUUCUAUUUUAUGCCUCACUCUUGUACAACACUUGAUAAUUUUGUUGUUGCUGCUGGUAUCAUGACAAUGUAUUGAUUGGAGGUGUCGGGUUAACGCCAGGCAUUUUUGAUUGGUCUGUUUUUGUGGUAUUUGCGGUAAUAAUAUAGGUUUUUUGGUGUAAGGUGAGAUAAUCGAGAGACAACCGCGCGAUCUCAAGCCGGAGGAGGCGCAGCGAUAACAGGUCUGUGAUGCCCUUAGAUGUUCUGGGCUGCACGCGCGCUACAAUGAAAUUGACAAAAAGUUACUGCUUUGAAAAAGGUGGUCAAACAUUAAUCGAUUUCUUAUUGGGGAUAGUGUACUGUAAUUGUGCACUCCAACGAGGAAUCCCUAGUAGGCGCGGUUCACCAAACCGUGCCGAAUAUGUCUAUGUCCUUUGUACACACCGCCCGUCGCUACUACUGAUUUAAUGAUGUUUCGAAGAAUAAGGAUUUGAAAAGGGAUUUAUUCAUUUUUGGAGAAUCAUUCUAAGAAAUUCUUUAGAGAGGAAGUAAAAGUCGUAACAAGGUUU